UGGGGAAUAUUGCACAAUGGGCGCAAGCCUGAUGCAGCCAUGCCGCGUGUGUGAAGAAGGCCUUCGGGUUGUAAAGCACUUUCAGCGAGGAGGAAGGCGUUAAGGUUAAUAACCUUAGCGAUUGACGUUACUCGCAGAAGAAGCACCGGCUAACUCCGUGCCAGCAGCCGCGGUAAUACGGAGGGUGCAAGCGUUAAUCGGAAUUACUGGGCGUAAAGCGCACGCAGGCGGUUUGUUAAGUCAGAUGUGAAAUCCCCGAGCUUAACUUGGGAACUGCAUUUGAAACUGGCAAGCUAGAGUCUUGUAGAGGGGGGUAGAAUUCCAGGUGUAGCGGUGAAAUGCGUAGAGAUCUGGAGGAAUACCGGUGGCGAAGGCGGCCCCCUGGACAAAGACUGACGCUCAGGUGCGAAAGCGUGGGGCAGCAAACAGGAUUAGAUACCCUGGUAGUCCAGCGCUGUAAACGAUGUCGACUUUGGA
This 477-nucleotide ribosomal RNA is filed under the name uncultured bacterium. RNAcentral describes it as "partial 16S ribosomal RNA". It matches the Rfam family "Bacterial small subunit ribosomal RNA", at positions 355 to 822 of the family's 1533-position model. The record is from RNAcentral.